Molecule: ribosomal RNA, 297 nt
Filed under: uncultured eukaryote
Lineage: Eukaryota
Description: partial 18S ribosomal RNA
Rfam family: Eukaryotic small subunit ribosomal RNA
Source: RNAcentral
CCCUUAGACGCUCUAGGCGGCACGCGCGCUACAAUGGGUGGUAGAACGUGUAACUGCUCCCGAAAGGGAGGGUGAACCACGAAUACUUACCCGUGAAUGGGAUAGUUUGUUGCAAUUUUCGGACUUGAACUAGGAAUCCCUUGUAAGAAUGCUCAAGAAUAGCGUGCUGAAUACGUCCCUGCCGUUUGUACACACCGCCCGUCGUUUCUUCCGACUGAUACUCAUUGUGAGUUGCAAGGAUUCUUAUUGAAAAAUUGCUGCGAAUGCUUUGUAUUGGAUGAAGAAAAAGUCGUAACA